Molecule: ribosomal RNA, 429 nt
Filed under: Pseudomonadota bacterium
Lineage: Bacteria; Pseudomonadati; Pseudomonadota
Description: Proteobacteria bacterium partial 16S ribosomal RNA
Rfam family: Bacterial small subunit ribosomal RNA
Source: RNAcentral
UGGGGAAUAUUGGACAAUGGGCGAAAGCCUGAUCCAGCCAUGCCGCGUGUGUGAAGAAGGUCUUCGGAUUGUAAAGCACUUUAAGUUGGGAGGAAGGGCAGUAAGCGAAUACCUUGCUGUUUUGACGUUACCGACAGAAUAAGCACCGGCUAACUCUGUGCCAGCAGCCGCGGUAAUACAGAGGGUGCAAGCGUUAAUCGGACUUACUGGGCGUAAAGCGCGCGUAGGUGGUUCGUUAAGUUGAAUGUGAAAGCCCCGUGCUCAACCUGGGAACUGCAUCCAUAACUGGCGGGCUAGAGUAGGGCAGAGGGUGGUGGAAUUUCCUGUGUAGCGGUGAAAUGCGUAGAUAUAGGAAGGAACACCAGUGGCGAAGGCGACCACCUGGGCUCAUACUGACACUGAGGUGCGAAAGCGUGGGGAGCAAACAGG